GACGAACGCUGGCGGCGUGCCUAAUACAUGCAAGUAGAACGCUGAAGAGAGGAGCUUGCUCUUCUUGGAUGAGUUGCGAACGGGUGAGUAACGCGUAGGUAACCUGCCUGGUAGCGGGGGAUAACUAUUGGAAACGAUAGCUAAUACCGCAUAAAAUUGAUUAUUGCAUGAUAAUUAAUUGAAAGAUGCAACUGCAUCACUACCAGAUGGACCUGCGUUGUAUUAGCUAGUUGGUGAGGUAACGGCUCACCAAGGCGACGAUACAUAGCCGACCUGAGAGGGUGAUCGGCCACACUGGGACUGAGACACGGCCCAGACUCCUACGGGAGGCAGCAGUAGGGAAUCUUCGGCAAUGGGGGGAACCCUGACCGAGCAACGCCGCGUGAGUGAAGAAGGUUUUCGGAUCGUAAAGCUCUGUUGUAAGAGAAGAACGGGUGUGAGAGUGGAAAGUUCACAUUGUGACGGUAUCUUACCAGAAAGGGACGGCUAACUACGUG
This 497-nucleotide ribosomal RNA is filed under the name uncultured bacterium. RNAcentral describes it as "partial 16S ribosomal RNA". It matches the Rfam family "Bacterial small subunit ribosomal RNA", at positions 28 to 507 of the family's 1533-position model. The record is from RNAcentral.